This 925-nucleotide long non-coding RNA is filed under the name Mytilus galloprovincialis (Mediterranean mussel). Lineage: Eukaryota; Metazoa; Mollusca; Bivalvia; Mytilida; Mytilidae. The record is from RNAcentral.
AUUCGUUUUUUCCAUUGAUCUCACAAUAAUAUAAAAUUAAUGCUUAAUGCUUUUCAUAUUGGCAUACCUAUUUAUUAAAAGAAUAGUUAACGGCCAUGUUACUAAAAUAUAUAAAGCACCAAAUGAAAAAAUUAUAUGAAAUUAUCAUGAUUAUACCUUUAUAUCGAACAAGUACAAAAUGUGCAGCAUCUGGAAAAAAUAGAAUUAGACUAAAACCAAAGUGAAUUAUUAACUAGGUUUUAGUCAUAUUGGUUCAAUAAUUAUUGCAUUCUGUAUUAUCUGUGUUUCUUAUUUUAAGCCAAUCUGCCUAAGAAUCAGGUCGAUGUGAAAGCAUGUAAACAAUAAUCCACUCGUAAGGUCAAAAUGUAUAAUGGUACACAAAUAGAAACAAACCUUUCCUUUUCCUGUUCUGGUAUUUCAAGAUAUAAUUUGUUUGAAAUAUACUAGAAAUUACCAAGAAGGUCGAGCUAACACCCAGAAAGAUUUACCAAUUAUAAGACAGUGCAAGGGUAAUGGUUAGGUCAUCUUGGUUUUUUUUGCCAUGUUUUGGAAGUUUUCUAAAUUGACUGAUUCUUACGAAUACUGGCCCUAAAGUUUAAUCACAUAUAAAGCCAUACUGUUGUGUCUAAUCAGAGCUUGCAUUGAACACUGUGAAAUUUCAAUAUUGAUCAGUUUCAACAUCUUGAAUACAUAAUCUGAAUUGAAACAAUACUAUGGCUGUAGGUAAUUUAGAUUUCAUUGGACCCUUUUAAAAAUUCUUGGGCAUUAUUUCCCCUUUAAAUUUUAUGACAUGGUUGGACUUAAUAUUGCAAAAAAUAUUUCUUAGUGCUGACAACAGGAAAAUUAUACUCGAUACCUGUUAUGUCAUAUUAAUCUGUGUAAAAGUUAUUUUAACUAAUUAAUCCAACUAUGUAAAUACAUAGAC